Molecule: ribosomal RNA, 484 nt
Filed under: uncultured bacterium
Lineage: Bacteria
Description: partial 16S ribosomal RNA
Rfam family: Bacterial small subunit ribosomal RNA
Source: RNAcentral
AGUGAACGCUGGCGGUAGGCUUAACACAUGCAAGUCGAACGGCAGCACAGUAAGAGCUUGCUAUUACGGGUGGCGAGUGGCGGACGGGUGAGGAAUAAACCGGAAUCUACUUUUUCGUGGGGGUGAGCGACGGGAACUAAUAGCGAAUAGGGGCCACGUCUAGCGGGAGGAAGGGGGGGUUCUUCGGGCGUAGGGUGAUCGAGUGGCCUAUCAGCGAGUUGGCGGGGUAAUGGCGUACCGAGCCGCCGAGGGGUAGCCGGUCUGAGAGGGUGAAAAGCCACACUGGGACUGGACGACGGCCCUGACUCCUACGGGAGGCACCAGUGCGGAAGAUUGGACAAUGGGCGCAAGCCUGAUCCAGCCAUACCGCGUGGGUGAAGAAGGCCUUCGGGUUGUAUAGCCCUUUUGUUGUGAAAGAAAAGCAUCAGGUUAAUCCCCCGCUGUUCUGACGGUACCCAAAUAAUAAGCACCGGCUAACUUCGUG